This 249-nucleotide ribosomal RNA is filed under the name Salmonella enterica. Its description in RNAcentral is "partial 16S ribosomal RNA". It matches the Rfam family "Bacterial small subunit ribosomal RNA", at positions 1 to 246 of the family's 1533-position model. The record is from RNAcentral. RNAcentral also lists the same sequence under 1 other name. Lineage: Bacteria; Pseudomonadati; Pseudomonadota; Gammaproteobacteria; Enterobacterales; Enterobacteriaceae.
AAAUUGAAGAGUUUGAUCAUGGCUCAGAUUGAACGCUGGCGGCAGGCCUAACACAUGCAAGUCGAACGGUAACAGGAAGCAGCUUGCUGCUUCGCUGGCGAGUGGCGGACGGGUGAGUAAUGUCUGGGAAACUGCCUGAUGGAGGGGGAUAACUACUGGAAACGGUGGCUAAUACCGCAUAACGUCGCAAGACCAAAGAGGGGGACCUUCGGGCCUCUUGCCAUCAGAUGUGCCCAGAUGGGAUUAGCU